AGGAACGAACGCGUGAGGCAGAUGUGAUCUGAUUUCGUGACGGCUAGGGUAGGCGAUCGCACGCUUAUAAAGGCGGCUCGGGUGGAGAGACGUGGGCCAAGCCCACGUCCGAGUCGGUAACGAUUACGAUCCGACGUCUCGGAUCGUGCCUUGUCCGUUACGUAUUCUCCGUUCCUGACCGGCAAAAAUAAGCGCGUAGGUAUGAGCUCGGCUCGGCUCAUUCCCGCAACCCGCGGCGCGUCGUGACGAGGCGUGGCGAGGCGGGCGGCGGAGGAGGAGUGCGCGAGGGCACCUUCUCUUCUCACUCUCCAAUAGCAUGUGGAAGAGAGACCCUUAUAAAGGGGUCCAAACUCUCCUCCACUAGCGGGGUGGGACUAAACUCCCACCACCUUGCCAUGCCACCACCUACAUGGGCCCUUGUAGAUUUUCUGAAAUUCUCUAGUGGGCCUAAGGCCCACCUCUAAAUUUCAACAAUCCCCCACCAGAUCUCAAGGGCACAUCGUGUUCCCUCGUUCCAAUCACUGUUUUAAUAUACCAGCAUUUCAGUGAAGACCUGUUAAGGUUGAGCUUCACCUAGAACAAGUAGCUACACCCCUUCACAACUGAACAAUGGACUAUGCCUUGAAUUGUCAGUUUGGCGUAAAGGAGCUUCACCACAAGUCUUACUAGUACUAGGCUGCCGAAGGUGACCCCUCGGGUGGAGCAUAUUAGUCACACUCCUGGCCUAUUCAUGAGUUUACUAGAGAUCACCCAAAUCUCAUAGACUGUGACCAGCAGUCAAGCUCAUAUAGGUGUGUUCCUCCAAAGAUCGCUCUGUAGGACAGCAUCUUGCUUACAUAUAAGCUUUAGAACACAUUAAGACAGUAGUCAUCCUACCAUACAGUAUCCGAGAGUAUUGCAUCUCCAACGGAGUGGGUUAGUAAAGUUACUCUCCUCAGUUCACCACUGGCUUGUUUUCCCAGGUCCUACUUCACGGGAUCUCCGAUCAUAUAGGUUAGGUUACUACCAUGGCAACUCAUGUGGGUCUCAUACCCAUCUCCCUCGAUGCACUAUCUAUCACAACACGUGAUAGCCCUUUAGUAAAGGGAUCUGCCAGAUUCUUAGCCGUUUGGAUAUAAUCCAACGCUAUCACUCCGGAGUUUCUCAAACGUCUGACAGACUUCAAUCUCAUUCUUAUAUGUUUGUUGGACUUCAUAUUGUCCUUUGAACUCUUCACUUUAACAAUAACCGUCUGAUUAUCGCAGUUCAUAAGGAUAGCCGGAACCGGCUUCUCAACCACAGGUAAGUCCAUCAAAAGAUCUCGAAGAAAUUCUGCUUCGACACCAGAUGUGUCUAAUGCUGUUAAUUCUGCUUCCAUUGUCGAUCUUGUUAAGAUCGUUUGCUUGCAAGACUUCCAGGAAACAGCACCACCCCCAAGAGUAAACAUAUACCCAGUAGUGGCCUUCAUCUCAUCAGCAUCAGAGAUCCAAUUCGCAUCACUAUACCCUUCAAGUACUGACGGGAAUCCCGUAUAGUGAAGCCCGUGGUUGACAGUACCUUUCAAGUAGCGCAUAAUUCUUUCAACAGCACGCCAAUGAACAUCGCCCGGGUUUGCAACAAACCGGCUAAGUUUGCUCACAGCAAACGCGAUGUCAGGCCUCGUUGCGCUAGCUAGGUACAUAAGUGAACCGAUAAUUUGAGAGAAUCUCGAUUGAUCUAUAGCUGUGCCUUUAAACUUUCGAAUAAGCACACUAGGAUCAUAUGGUGUUUGACAAAUCUUGCAGUCUGAAUAUCCAAAGCGACUCAAAAUCUUGUCAACAUAGUGGGAUUGCAGAAGUGUAAUCCCACCCUCAUCAUCUCUCAACAGCUUGAUGUUCAAGAUAACAUCAGCCACCCCAAGGUCCUUCAUCUCAAAGUUUUGAGACAGAAAAGACUUAACCUCCUCAAUUACUUUGAGGUUGGUUCCAAAUAUCAGUAUGUCAUCAACAUACAAUCACAAUAUAACUCCUUCGCCCCCACCAUGGCGAUAGUAUACACAUUUGUCAGCUUCAUUAACAACAAAGCCAACAGAUGUCAGAGUUGUAUUGAACUUCUCAUGCCAUUGCUUAGGUGCUUGUCUCAGACCAUAUAAAGAUUUCAGCAACUUACACACCUUUCCUUCCUGACCUUCUAUCACAAAGCCAUCUGGCUGUUGCAUAUAGAUUUCCUCAUUUAGCUCUCCAUUCAGGAAAGCCGUCUUAACGUCCAUUUGAUGAACGAGAAGACCAUGAGAGGCCGCCAAUGAGAGUAGUACUCUAAUGGUGGUCAGUCUAGCCACAGGUGAAUAAGUAUCGAAGAAAUCUUCCUCUUCUUUCUGGGCAUAGCCCUUGGCCACAAGCCUAGCCUUGUACUUUUCAAUUGUACCGUCGGGCCUAAGCUUCUUUUUGAACACCCACUUGCAUCCCAAUGGUUUGCAACCAUAGGGACGAUCAGUGAUUUCCCAUGUCCCGUUAGCCAUGAUGGAGUCCAUCUCGCUACGGACAGCAGCUUUCCAGUAAUCAGCAUCUGGAGAAGCAUACGCUUCUGAAAUAGAAGUGGGAUUAUCAUCCACGAGGUAUACGAAGAAAUCAUCACCAAAGGUCUUUGCAGUCCUUUGUCUCUUGCCCCUACCACGGGCUUCCUCGUCAUCCUCCUCAGGAUUUUCAUCAUGUGUUUGUUCAUAAUAUUCCAUAGGAAUGGCAGGCUCAGGAGUUAUCUCAGAUUCCUGUCUAGAAGUGCUUUGCAUAUCUCUCAUGGGAAAUAUAUCCUCAAAGAAUGUAGCAUCCCUCGACUCCAUUAUUGUACCGACCUUCACGUCAGGUACCUCAGAUUUCACUACUAGAAAUCUAUAGCCUACGCUAUUCUUAGCGUAUCCCAAAUUAACGCAAUCCACAGUCUUUGGUCCAAGCUUACGCUUCUUGGGAAUCGGUACAUUGACUUUCGCCAAGCAGCCCCAAGUACGUAAGUACGAGAGUGUCGUCCUUCUCUUUGACCACUCCUCGUAGGGAGUGACCUCAUUAUCUUUUGUAGGAACUUUAUUCAGGACAUGACACGCGGUCAAUAUAGCCUCCCCCCACCAUGCCUUGGAUAAACCCGAUGUAUCUAACAUGGCGUUAACCAAAUCAGUUAGAGUACGGUUUUUCCGCUCGGCAACCCCGUUUGACUGGGGUGAAUAGGGAGGCGUCCUCUCAUGAAUAAUGCCGUGUUCCGCACAAAAUGAAUCAAAUUCGUUUGAGAAGUACUCUCCACCACGAUCAGACCGGACUCGUUUAAUUUUCUUUUCAAGUUGAUUCUCAACUUCUGCCUUAUAGAUUUUAAAGUAGUGUAGAGCCUCAUCUUUAGUAUUUAACAGAUACACAUAGCAAAAUCUAGUGGAAUCAUCUAUCAAUGUCAUGAAGUAUUUCUUUCCACCUUUAGUCAAAACACCAUUCAUCUCACAAAGAUCAGAAUGUAUGAGUUCUAAUGGUGCCAAGUGUCUCUCCUCUGCAGCCUUGUGAGGCUUGCGAGGUUGCUUUGCUUGCACACACGAGUGGCACUUAGAACCUUUGACUAAAGUGAAAGUUGGGAUUAAAUUCAGUUUUGCUAGCCGCGACAUAACACCGAAACUUAUGUGACAAAGACGUGAAUGCCAAACUUCAGAUUCAUUAACACUCGAAUGAAUAUUGUUCACGACUUUAUUACAAAAAUCUGCUAGAGAAAGGCGGAACAGACCUCCGCAUUCAUAACCUUUUCCAACGAAAAGUCCAUAUUUCGUAACUACUACUUUAUUAGACUCGAACACCAACUUAAACCCUUCUCUACACAGAAGGGAGCCACUAACGAGAUUCUUCUUGAUGGCGGGGACAUGCUGCACGUUCUUCAGCUGCACGAUCCUUCCCGAAGUAAACUUCAGAUCGACCGUGCCAACACCAAGCACAGAAGCACUCGCGCCAUUCCCCAUCAAUACGGACCCGCGACCGGUGGCCUGAUAAGAAGAGAACAAUGACAAGUCAGCACACACAUGAAUAUUUGCACCCGUGUCCACCCACCAAUCGGUGGACCGACAAACUGUAAAUACAGUAAGUAAAUUACCGUACCCAGAUGCACCACUUUCAUUGUUGCCCACAAUCAUGUUUGCAGACUUGGAGUCCUGCGCCGGCUUCUUGUACUUGUUUGGGCAUUUGCUCGCCCAAUGUUCCUCUGAACCACAAGUAUAGCAGCCAUCUCCCUUCUUAUUCUUCUUGAAGGGCUUCUUCCCCUUCUUCUUGAAGUCGGUAUUCUGUUGGACAGAGUUCUUUCCCUUGGGCUUGUGAGAAUUGAAGUUCCUCUGAUGUACCAUAUUGGCAGCAGAAGAGCUUUCCACCGCUUUUCCAUUGGAGUCCUUUGCUCUCGAGUUCUGCUCAACACUCAGAUGGCCGAUGAUGUCCUCUACUGAGAACUCACGCCUCUGAUGUUUCAGAGUAGUAGCAAAGUUCCUCCAGGAAUUAGGGAGCUUAGCAAUUAUACAGCCCGCGACAAACUUGCCCGGCAAAUUGCACUUAAGAACCUCAAGUUCCUUAGCUAUGCAUAUUAUCUCAUGAGCUUGUUCCAAUACAGAACGGUUGCCAACCAUCUUGUAAUCGUGGAACUGCUCCAUAACAUACAUCUCACUCCCAGCAUCGGUGGCCCCGAAUUUAGAUUCGAGCGCCUCCCACAAGUCCUUGGCAACAUGCAUAUGUAAAUAUGCAUCAACCAGCUUAUCUCCGAUCACGCUAAUGACUGCUCCAAGGAAUAGGACGGUGGCCUCCCUAAACAUCUUCUCCUGUUCAGGAGUGAUAGUUUUCGUAGGAGUGACACCGGCUACCCAGAACACGUUCAUAGCCGUGAGCCAUAAGGUGGUUCUCGUUUGCCAACGCUUGAAAAAAGUACCGGUAAACUUAUCCGGUUUCAGUGCAGCAGCAAAACCAUUACUCGAAAAAUUCCUACAGACAUUAGGUUUUUGGAUUGUUGAGUAAAUAGGCAANNNNNNNNNNNNNNNNNNNNNNNNNNNNNNNNNNNNNNNNNNNNNNNNNNNNNNNNNNNNNNNNNNNNNNNNNNNNNNNNNNNNNNNNNNNNNNNNNNNNNNNNNNNNNNNNNNNNNNNNNNNNNNNNNNNNNNNNNNNNNNNNNNNNNNNNNNNNNNNNNNNNNNNNNNNNNNNNNNNNNNNNNNNNNNNNNNNNNNNNNNNNNNNNNNNNNNNNNNNNNNNNNACCUCUAAAUUUCAACAAGGGCCAGCCCCAUGAGGAUGGCUCGACGACGUCAGACGAGUGGAAGACGUAGUGUUAUGGGAUUACAAAAGGAUGGGGAAGAGAGAUGGUCUUGUGGAGAACCCCAUGGGCGAGCGAGUGGAGACGACAUGUAGAAGUGAUGGACUUGGAUUGGGACAACGGGUGGCAUCAUGGAGAUGGGAUGGUAGAGGACGGGACAGAUGGUCGGAUGCAUAUAUAGCAGGAGCGAAUUUAGGAUUUGGAACUUUGCUAGGACUGGUAGGAGAAGAGGACGACACA
Molecule: long non-coding RNA, 5500 nt
Filed under: Hordeum vulgare
Lineage: Eukaryota; Viridiplantae; Streptophyta; Magnoliopsida; Poales; Poaceae
Description: long non-coding RNA (HVUL_LNC015978)
Source: RNAcentral